GAUGAAGAACGUAGCGAAAUGCGAUACUUGGUGUGAAUUGCAGAAUCCCGUGAACCAUCGAGUCUUUGAACGCAAGUUGCGCCUCAAGCCAUUAGGUUGAGGGCACGUCUGCCUGGGCGUCACAUAUCGUUGCCUGAUGCCAGUUUCCUCGUGAUGGGUGACUGUGCAGGGCGAAUGAUGGCUUCCCGUGAGCAUUGUUGCCUCAUGGUUGGUUGAAAAUUGAGUCCUUGGUAGGGAGCGCCGUGAUAGAUGGUGGUUGAGUGACGAACGAGACCCAAUCAUGUGAGACCCCUACCGAAUUUGGCCUUCAUGACCCACAUGCGUCUUUGGAACGCUCAUGACGAGACCUCAGGUCAGGCGGGGCUACCCGCUGAGUUUGAGCAUAUCAAUAAGCGGAGGA
Molecule: unclassified non-coding RNA, 400 nt
Filed under: soil metagenome
Description: partial contains 5.8S ribosomal RNA, internal transcribed spacer 2, and large subunit ribosomal RNA
Rfam family: 5.8S ribosomal RNA (bases 1-122)
Source: RNAcentral